Molecule: transfer RNA, 117 nt
Filed under: Daphnia magna
Lineage: Eukaryota; Metazoa; Arthropoda; Branchiopoda; Diplostraca; Daphniidae
Rfam family: tRNA
About the family: Transfer RNA (tRNA) molecules are approximately 80 nucleotides in length. Their secondary structure includes four short double-helical elements and three loops (D, anti-codon, and T loops).
Source: Rfam by way of RNAcentral
GUCAGGAUGGCCGAGCGGUCUAAGGCGCCAGACUCAAGCUUACCACUUGCCGGGCAAACCGGUUCUAAGUAUUCUGGUCUUCGAUAGAAGGCGUGGGUUCAAAUCCCACUUCUGACA